Molecule: long non-coding RNA, 138 nt
Organism: Sphaeramia orbicularis (orbiculate cardinalfish)
Lineage: Eukaryota; Metazoa; Chordata; Actinopteri; Kurtiformes; Apogonidae
Exons: 3
Source: RefSeq, a predicted model, not a curated record
UGCCUUCAUACUUCCGCGUCCAGUGCGUUUGAAUGAACAAUUCUCAAUCAAUCCACCAGAAGGCGCUGUUCUUAAUUAACAUACUUGCUAAAUACCACGAAGAAGAAGAAGAAAGUUUUACUAAUAAGAAGAAAGUCA